Molecule: ribosomal RNA, 399 nt
Filed under: uncultured bacterium
Lineage: Bacteria
Description: partial 16S ribosomal RNA
Rfam family: Bacterial small subunit ribosomal RNA
Source: RNAcentral
AAUAUUGCACAAUGGGCGAAAGCCUGAUGCAGCAACGCCGCGAGAGUGAUGAAGGCCUNAGGGUCNUNAAGCUCUUUUAUCAGGGNGAAUAAUGACAGUACAUGAAAAACAAGACACGGCUAACUACGUUCCAGCAGCCGCGGUAAUACGUAGGUGGCGAGCGUUGUCCGGAAUUACUGGGCGUAAAGGAUGCGUAGGUGGAUACUUAAGUAGGGUGUGAAAUCCCCGGGCUCAACCCGGGAACUGCAUUCCAAACUGGGUAGCUAGAGUGCAGGAGAGGAAAGCGGAAUUCCUAGUGUAGCGGUGAAAUGCGUAGAUAUUAGGAGGAACACCAGUGGCGAAGGCGGCUUUCUGGACUGUAACUGACACUGAGGCAUGAAAGCGUGGGUAGCAAACAGG